RNAcentral lists this ribosomal RNA (808 nucleotides) under Engystomops petersi (Peters' dwarf frog). Its description in RNAcentral is "partial 16S ribosomal RNA". The stretch from base 246 to 362 matches the Rfam family "Bacterial large subunit ribosomal RNA", at positions 714 to 852 of the family's 2925-position model. The record is from RNAcentral. Lineage: Eukaryota; Metazoa; Chordata; Amphibia; Anura; Leptodactylidae.
GCUAAAAACUUAGCCUUANCCCUACAAUUAUAUUUACCCUAUUUUACUUACACAAAAUAAAACAUUCUUUAAGCUUAGUAAAGGAGAUAAAAAAGUUUUUUAGAGCUAUAAAAUAAGUACCGCAAGGGAAAAAUGAAAUAAAAAUGAAACAAAAUUCAAGCAUAAUAUAGUAGAGUUUUCCCCUCGUACCUUUUGCAUCAUGAUUCAACUAGUUUAACCACGCAAAAAGAAUUUAAGUUUGACUUCCCGAAACUAAGUGAGCUACUUCAGGGCAGCUAAAUGAGCCAACCCGUCUCUGUUGCAAAAGAGUGGGAUGACCCUUAAGUAGAGGUGAUAAACCUAACGAACUUAGUGAUAGCUGGUUAUUCAGAAAAAGAAUUUUAGUUCAACUUAAAAUUACAUAAAUAAAAUAAAAUAAAAUUUUAAUUUUAAAGCAAUUCAAAUAAGGUACAGCCUAUUUGAAAUAGAAUACAAUCUAAACUAUAGGGUAAAUAUAAAAAAUUAAUGUAAUAAAGUAGGCCUAAAAGCAGCCAACUUUAAAAUAGCGUCAAAGCUUACUUCCAUAAUUUUUUAAUACUAUUAUUUACAAUGAACCCUUUAUUUUUACUGAAUAUUUCUAUAAAGUUAUAGAACCUUUUAUGUUGAAACUAGUAACAAGAAGUUAAACUUCUCCUCAAUAUAAGUAUAAGUCGACUAGGAUAAACCAUCGACAAUUAACGCUUAAAUUAAAUGUAUUAACUCCACAAGAAAAACUUACAUUACCCCACGUUAAUCUUACACCAGAACAUUUAAGGAAAGAUUNNAAAAA